GACGAACGCUGGCGGCGUGCCUAAUACAUGCAAGUUGAGCGCUGAAGGUUGGUACUUGUACCAACUGGAUGAGCAGCGAACGGGUGAGUAACGCGUGGGGAAUCUGCCUUUGAGCGGGGGACAACAUUUGGAAACGAAUGCUAAUACCGCAUAAAAACUUUAAACACAAGUUUUAAGUUUGAAAGAUGCAAUUGCAUCACUCAAAGAUGAUCCCGCGUUGUAUUAGCUAGUUGGUGAGGUAAAGGCUCACCAAGGCGAUGAUACAUAGCCGACCUGAGAGGGUGAUCGGCCACAUUGGGACUGAGACACGGCCCAAACUCCUACGGGAGGCAGCAGUAGGGAAUCUUCGGCAAUGGACGAAAGUCUGACCGAGCAACGCCGCGUGAGUGAAGAAGGUUGUCGGAUCGUAAAACUCUGUCGGUAGAGAAGAACGUUGGUGAGAGUGGAAAGCUCAUCAAGUGACGGUAACUACCCAGAAAGGGACGGCUAACUACGUG
RNAcentral lists this ribosomal RNA (497 nucleotides) under uncultured bacterium. RNAcentral describes it as "partial 16S ribosomal RNA". It matches the Rfam family "Bacterial small subunit ribosomal RNA", at positions 28 to 507 of the family's 1533-position model. The record is from RNAcentral.